GAUGAACGCUGGCGGCGUGCCUAAUACAUGCAAGUCGAGCGAACGGACGAGAAGCUUGCUUCUCUGAUGUUAGCGGCGGACGGGUGAGUAACACGUGGAUAACCUACCUAUAAGACUGGGAUAACUUCGGGAAACCGUAGCUAAUACCGGAUAAUAUUUUGAACCGCAUGGUUCAAAAGUGAAAGACGGUCUUGCUGUCACUUAUAGAUGGAUCCGCGCUGCAUUAGCUAGUUGGUAAGGUAACGGCUUACCAAGGCAACGAUGCAUAGCCGACCUGAGAGGGUGAUCGGCCACACUGGAACUGAGACACGGUCCAGACUCCUACGGGAGGCAGCAGUAGGGAAUCUUCCGCAAUGGGCGAAGGCCUGACGGAGCAACGCCGCGUGAGUGAAGAAGGUCUUCGGAUCGUGAAACUCUGUUAUUAGGGAAGAACAUAUGUGUAAGUAACUGUGCACAUCUUGACGGUACCUAAUCAGAAAGCCACGGCUAACUACGUG
This 497-nucleotide ribosomal RNA is filed under the name uncultured bacterium. Its description in RNAcentral is "partial 16S ribosomal RNA". It matches the Rfam family "Bacterial small subunit ribosomal RNA", at positions 28 to 507 of the family's 1533-position model. The record is from RNAcentral.